AGUAGUUGUAUCAGUGGCUACAGGACGAACGCUGGCGGCGUGCCUAACACAUGCAAGUCGAGCGAGGAGAUUCCUCGGGAUGAUCCUAGCGGCGGACGGGUGAGUAACACGUGGGCAACCUGCCUCAUAGAGAGGAAUAGCCUUCCGAAAGGGAGAUUAAUACCUCAUAACAUUGCAGUUUCGCAUGGAACAGCAAUUAAAGGAGCAAUCCACUAUGAGAUGGGCCCGCGGCGCAUUAGCUAGUUGGUGAGGUAACGGCUCACCAAGGCGACGAUGCGUAGCCGACCUGAGAGGGUGAUCGGCCACAUUGGGACUGAGACACGGCCCAGACUCCUACGGGAGGCAGCAGUGGGGAAUAUUGCACAAUGGGGGAAACCCUGAUGCCAGCAACGCCGCGUGAGUGAUGACGGCCUUCGGGUUGUAAAGCUCUGUCUUCAGGGACGAUAAUGACGGUACCUGAGGAGGAAGCCACGGCUAACUACGUGCCAGCCGCCGC
This 496-nucleotide ribosomal RNA is filed under the name uncultured bacterium. RNAcentral's name for it is "bacterial SSU rRNA". It matches the Rfam family "Bacterial small subunit ribosomal RNA", at positions 1 to 518 of the family's 1533-position model. The record is from RNAcentral.